This is a long non-coding RNA of Cervus elaphus (red deer), 1045 nucleotides long. RefSeq lists it as uncharacterized. NCBI's taxonomy places the organism in Eukaryota, Metazoa, Chordata, Mammalia, Artiodactyla, Cervidae. The transcript is spliced from 4 exons. The record is from RefSeq and is a predicted model, not a curated record.
ACACGCUCCUUGAUUAAAUCACUAACAUGGACUUUAUCUAGCAAAAUGGCUAGCUUUUACUCUCGCUACUCCUCUGCUUGGGAAACAAAAUACAGGGGCAGAGAAAUGGAAUGAGAAAUUAAGCCCAGCAGGAAUACAGGACGUCAGACUUACCUUUUUCGGAUUUUGUAACGGGUGGAAGAUACCCCAGGCAAUGACAAGGUGAAUUCGCAGCAGUCUUCUGCUUGAACAAGGGGAAGAACAGCUGUGUAAAUAAAUGCAGAUGAGUACAACUGGCUGCGUGCUUUCCCCAGCUGCCUGCUCCACUUACAUAGGCUCUCUGCCGAUUGCAGUCAACAGGAUUCAGGUUGAGGAAGAAGAUACAUCAAAGGAGAUGGAGAAGAAAGCGGACUCUCAGAUGCCUGCCUAUCUGCCUGCUCUCCUUCUUGUACCGGCUUUUAUGAUUAUCUCUGGGGCGCCCUGCCCUGGGGAUGUACGCUGGCGUUUGUGGUUGUGGCUCUGCCAGUGCACUUGCUGGUUCUGCAAGUGUGUUCACACGCAUGUUCCUGCAGGCGGUGGACAUCAGAAGUGCGUGUUCUAAAAGUCCUGAGUUGGGACAGUUCUUCUGAGUGAAAGCAGGACCUGAACUAGAGCUUGGAAGAGGCUUGGAAGAGAUGGGAAUGGGGUGUAGGCAGCAAGGUGGCUCAGCCUCACUCACUUUUCCAUGAACUGUUUCUGAAGUCUCCUCUUUUUCCUUCCUUUGCAAACUCUGGUUAUGUAGCUGCCAUUUCCUUGGGAGCAAUACUUUUUUACAAGAGCUUUUAUUGUGCCUUUAAAUAAACCAAAGAAUAAGAAAAAUAGUUCUUCACUGUGGAAUGCUUGAAAAAUAUUUAACAUACUUAGGAAGCAAAAGCUAUGCAUACUGCCACUGACCAUGGACAACUACCUUAGAUGGUAUUUCUUUUUGAAAGAAGUUUUUUCAAAUUUAUUUUUGAUUGGUGUAUAAUUGCUUAAUAAUAUUUUGUUGGUUUCUACUAUACAACAAUGAAUCAGCUGUAAGUAUAUA